RNAcentral lists this ribosomal RNA (113 nucleotides) under Membranihabitans marinus. RNAcentral's name for it is "Bacterial small subunit ribosomal RNA". It matches the Rfam family "Bacterial small subunit ribosomal RNA", at positions 1414 to 1533 of the family's 1533-position model. Lineage: Bacteria; Pseudomonadati; Bacteroidota; Saprospiria; Saprospirales; Saprospiraceae. The record is from Rfam by way of RNAcentral.
GGGGUACCUGAAGAUGGUGACUUUAUGGGGAGCUAUCUAAGGUAAAACCAGUGACUGGGGCUAAGUCGUAACAAGGUAGCCGUACCGGAAGGUGCGGCUGGAAUACCUCUUUU